This 393-nucleotide ribosomal RNA is filed under the name Staphylococcus epidermidis NIHLM067. RNAcentral describes it as "bacterial SSU rRNA". It matches the Rfam family "Bacterial small subunit ribosomal RNA", at positions 1 to 382 of the family's 1533-position model. The record is from RNAcentral. Lineage: Bacteria; Bacillati; Bacillota; Bacilli; Caryophanales; Staphylococcaceae.
UUUUAUGGAGAGUUUGAUCCUGGCUCAGGAUGAACGCUGGCGGCGUGCCUAAUACAUGCAAGUCGAGCGAACAGACGAGGAGCUUGCUCCUCUGACGUUAGCGGCGGACGGGUGAGUAACACGUGGAUAACCUACCUAUAAGACUGGGAUAACUUCGGGAAACCGGAGCUAAUACCGGAUAAUAUAUUGAACCGCAUGGUUCAAUAGUGAAAGACGGUUUUGCUGUCACUUAUAGAUGGAUCCGCGCCGCAUUAGCUAGUUGGUAAGGUAACGGCUUACCAAGGCAACGAUGCGUAGCCGACCUGAGAGGGUGAUCGGCCACACUGGAACUGAGACACGGUCCAGACUCCUACGGGAGGCAGCAGUAGGGAAUCUUCCGCAAUGGGCGAAAGC